This 253-nucleotide ribosomal RNA is filed under the name uncultured bacterium. RNAcentral describes it as "partial 16S ribosomal RNA". It matches the Rfam family "Bacterial small subunit ribosomal RNA", at positions 524 to 776 of the family's 1533-position model. The record is from RNAcentral.
UACGGAGGGAGCAAGCGUUGUCCGGAAUCAUUGGGCGUAAAGCGCGCGUAGGCGGCCCGAUAAGUCCGCUGUGAAAGUCAACGGCUCAACUGUUGGAUGCCGGUGGAUACUGUCGGGCUAGAGUACGGAAGAGGCAAGUGGAAUUCCUGGUGUAGCGGUGGAAUGCGCAGAUAUCAGGAGGAACACCUAUAGCGAAGGCAGCUUGCUGGGACGUUACUGACGCUAAGGCGCGAAAGCGUGGGGAGCGAACAGG